GACGAACGCUGGCGGCGUGCUUAACACAUGCAAGUCGAACGGAAAGGCCCUGCGCUUGUGGGGUGCUCGAGUGGCGAACGGGUGAGUAACACGUGAGUAACCUGCCCUUGACUUUGGGAUAACUUCAGGAAACUGGGGCUAAUACCGCACAGGAUCUCCUGCAGCAUGGGGGGGGUUGGAAAGUUUCGGCGGUUGGGGAUGGACUCGAGGCUUAUCAGCUUGUUGGUGGGGUAGGGGCUUACCAAGGCUUUGACGGAUAGACGGCCUGAGAGGGUGACCGGCCACCUUGGGCCUGAGAUACGGCCCAGGCUGCUACGGGAGGCAGAAGAGGGAAAUAUUGCACAAUGGGGGGACGCCUGAUGCAGCAACGCCGAGUGCGGGAUGAAGGCUUUCGAGUUGUAAACCGCUUUCGACUGUGCCGAAGAGUGCGUGACGGUAAUGGGUAAAGAAGCACCGGCUAACUACGUG
RNAcentral lists this ribosomal RNA (468 nucleotides) under uncultured bacterium. RNAcentral's name for it is "partial 16S ribosomal RNA". It matches the Rfam family "Bacterial small subunit ribosomal RNA", at positions 28 to 507 of the family's 1533-position model. The record is from RNAcentral.